RNAcentral lists this ribosomal RNA (268 nucleotides) under uncultured soil bacterium. RNAcentral's name for it is "partial 16S ribosomal RNA". It matches the Rfam family "Bacterial small subunit ribosomal RNA", at positions 26 to 280 of the family's 1533-position model. The record is from RNAcentral.
AGAACGAACGCUGGCGGCGUGCCUAACACAUGCAAGUCGAGCGAGAAAGCCCGCAAGGGUGAGUACAGCGGCGCACGGGUGCGUAACACGUGGGUAAUCUGCCCUGAAGCUCGGAAUAACUCCCCGAAAGGGGCGCUAAUGCCGAAUAAGACCACGGGAGCCUCGGCUCCUGAGAGAAAAGGUGGCCUCUGCAUGCAAGCUAUCACUUCAGGAUGACGCCCGCGGCCCAUCAGCUAGUUGGCGGGUAUCGGCCCACGAAGGCUACGGA